GUCUACGGCCAUACCACCCUGAAUGCGCCCGAUCUCGUCUGAUCUCGGAAGCUAAGCAGGGUAGGGCCUGGUUAGUACUUGGAUGGGAGAAAAGCCCAGAAUAAAGAGUCAAAGCUGGUAUGGCAACUC
RNAcentral lists this ribosomal RNA (129 nucleotides) under Myotis brandtii (Brandt's bat). Lineage: Eukaryota; Metazoa; Chordata; Mammalia; Chiroptera; Vespertilionidae. The record is from RNAcentral.